UACGUAGGGUGCAAGCGUUGUCCGGAAUCAUUGGGCGUAAAGCGCGCGUAGGUGGCUUCGUAAGUCCGUUGUGAAAGUCAAAGGCUCAACCUUUGAAUGCCGAUGGAUACUGCGAAGCUAGAGUACGGAAGAGGCGAGUGGAAUUCCUGGUGUAGCGGUGGAAUGCGCAGAUAUCAGGAGGAACACCAAUAGCGAAGGCAGCUCGCUGGGACGUUACUGACACUAAGGCGCGAAAGCGUGGGGAGCGAACGAGGA
RNAcentral lists this ribosomal RNA (255 nucleotides) under uncultured bacterium. RNAcentral's name for it is "partial 16S ribosomal RNA". It matches the Rfam family "Bacterial small subunit ribosomal RNA", at positions 524 to 778 of the family's 1533-position model. The record is from RNAcentral.